CGGAGAUGAAGGACAGGUGAGAAAAAGCAAAACUAUUGAUUUAUUCUAAUUCCACAAACAUGUGGAUCAAAUUGAUCAAGAAACAAUAUUGAAAUUAUAUCUGAGAGGAAAUUUGAUGAGAAUUAUAUUUCAUGACAGUUUGUUUUGUUUUUGUUUUAUUAAAUCCCAAUUGUUGUUCUUAUCCACCCAAUCCACACACAUCCAUGAUGAAAACCCGAAUCUGAAAUGCAUUGCCUGGUACAACUGGAGUAAUCACACCAUAAAUCAUGCCGUUGAACACCACUGCUGAACCAACGUCACCCUGUAGAAAAACAUUACAUCAAUAUAUUUA
Long non-coding RNA from Poecilia latipinna (sailfin molly), 331 nucleotides. RefSeq lists it as uncharacterized. The record is from RefSeq and is a predicted model, not a curated record. The transcript is spliced from 3 exons. Lineage: Eukaryota; Metazoa; Chordata; Actinopteri; Cyprinodontiformes; Poeciliidae.